GUUAUAUAACAUAUUAAUAUUUUUCGAAUAGUUUUAGAUCAAAUUAAAUCUAGAAUUUAGUACUUCUUGUUGUUGGAUAUUAUGCAGAAAAGAACUUAUGACCAAUUUAGAAUUCACUUCAUCUUUCAUUGAUCAUGUGAAAUUAAGAUUUCUUGAUCACAAUGAUGUGGAACAACUUAAAAAAUUAUGCACAGAUUGGUUUCCAAUAACAUAUCCAGAUGGUUGGUAUAAAGCUGUUACAAAAAACCCGAAGUUUUUCUCUCUUGCAGCUAUUUACAACAAUGUGAUCAUUGGUGUCAUCGUUGCUGAGAUCAGAAACAGAGCAAAAGAAGAUGAAGAUAUUCUUGGUUAUUGGUAUCCUUCUGACACUAAAGUUGGGUACAUUUUGGUAUUAGGUACGUCCAAAGAAUAUAGAAGAAAGGGUAUUGCUUCAAUUUUGUUAAAGGCAUUUCUGUCACACGUCAAUGACACUGAGAAUCAUUGUUGUAAAGCUGUUUACCUUCAUGUGUUGUCGACAAAUGCUGGAGCUGUUCUGUUGUAUGAACGGCAUCAGUUUCUAAGGCAUAAACACUUGCCAUUGUAUUAUGCAAUCCAAGGUACAAGAAUGGAUGGUUAUUGUUACGUAAUUUAUGCUAAUGGUGGUUGUCCUCCUUGGACCACUUUGUAUCUUUUUCAAUAUGGUUAGCAGAGUUAAUUGUAACAAUACUAUGAUUGAAUCAACUCUGCUUAGAAACAGAGUCUAGAUACAACAAUGCAAGAGACUUCAUCAGUGCCACAACUAAUUACUUUUCACAGUUUGCGUUCUGUCGUGCAUCAAGUUAUUUAAUGUCACGACUGUGGGUGCUGCCACGUAAAAUAUUGCUAGGUCAAAAAAGUAGUCGAAUAAUUCGAAAUUUGUAAAUAAAUUUUAAAGAAAUAAGUUUUUCAUCCUUGUAAUAUUAAUGUUUUUUUUACGUAGCAAAUAUAUCACUGAAACUGAAUAA
RNA transcript from Hydractinia symbiolongicarpus, 983 nucleotides. It is a transcript of the gene named N-alpha-acetyltransferase 60-like, with no coding region annotated. The transcript has 5 exons. Lineage: Eukaryota; Metazoa; Cnidaria; Hydrozoa; Anthoathecata; Hydractiniidae. The record is from RefSeq and is a predicted model, not a curated record.